This 497-nucleotide ribosomal RNA is filed under the name uncultured bacterium. RNAcentral describes it as "partial 16S ribosomal RNA". It matches the Rfam family "Bacterial small subunit ribosomal RNA", at positions 28 to 507 of the family's 1533-position model. The record is from RNAcentral.
GAUGAACGCUGGCGGCGUGCCUAAUACAUGCAAGUCGAGCGAACAGAUGAGGAGCUUGCUCCUCUGACGUUAGCGGCGGACGGGUGAGUAACACGUGGAUAACCUACCUAUAAGACUGGGAUAACUCCGGGAAACCGGAGCUAAUACCGGAUAAUAUAUUGAACCGCAUGGUUCAAUAGUGAAAGACGGUUUUGCUGUCACUUAUAGAUGGAUCCGCGCCGCAUUAGCUAGUUGGUAAGGUAACGGCUUACCAAGGCAACGAUGCGUAGCCGACCUGAGAGGGUGAUCGGCCACACUGGAACUGAGACACGGUCCAGACUCCUACGGGAGGCAGCAGUAGGGAAUCUUCUGCAAUGGGCGAAAGCCUGACGGAGCAACGCCGCGUGAGUGAUGAAGGUCUUCGGAUCGUAAAACUCUGUUAUUAGGGAAGAACAAAUGUGUAAGUAACUAUGCACGUCUUGACGGUACCUAAUCAGAAAGCCACGGCUAACUACGUG